AUCGCUAAGCGUUUGGAACGAAAUCCCGAUCCCACCUCCGGGAGCCUUAGUCCGAGCCCAAAUCGGAGCCCGGGGGCGGGACCUGGUAGUCAGUCCUCUGGACCGCUCGUGUUUGGGCUUUUCGCUGGGUUGGACCUGGCAGUUAGAAGAUCUUGGAGUCUGUGAAGGUCGCAUCAAAACCUGAGUGGGGGUGGUCCUUAGGUUAUAUACACACACGUAAACUCGACCCGAGCACCCAAUUGGUUAGAGACGGUGGGCAGGUAGCGGUCUGAAUGGGGAGGGCGCCUGCUGGGAAGGAAUUACGUGGGCCUGUGUGGAGUUCAACAAACACAAAGUGAGAGGAAUGGGGUGGGGGUCAAAACAAUGAUCAGAAUUCCAGCCUUUCGUUGUGAAGGUUAGGUUAGGCUGUUCUUGGGGACAUCCUGUGGCGGACUCUUGUGGGUCUUUGGAUCCUUAAGAGUCCUAGAGAUUGUCCUUACCUAGGUUGCGCAUCACCUGCCAGAGCAACGCCCAUUUGGUUUGUUUCAGACAAGGGUCUCAAUAUGCAGUCCGGGCUGACCUGGAACUGACCUUCUAGAAAAGACUGGAUCUCAGAGAUGCGGUGGAAUUUAAGGCGUGCCACUACACCGGGCCAAGAACCAGGCUAUACUGAUAGAGACACUAAGGCCCAAUGCAAGGAAUUUACCCAAGGACCAGAAUUUGGUAGCACACAACUACCUGCAGCUCCCGGCCCAGGACAUCGAUGCCCUCUGAUGGGCUCCACGGGAACCAGCAUACACCUCCUCCCCUAUAAAAGUAAAAAAAUUUAAAGAAGAAGGGAAGCAAGAGAGAUGGCCUAGCUGAUACCACUGGAUGUUCUUCAGAUUAUUCAAGGUUCAGUUCCCACCAGCCAAUAUAGUUCCCAACCAUCUAUUACUCCAGUCCCAGGGGAUCCAGUGACCCCUCUGGCCUCCACCAGCAUCAGGUGUGCAUGAGGUACACAGACAUAGAUGUAGGCAGAACACAUUUUAAAAAGUUGCCCUUUGAUCUCCCCACCCAUAGUGUACCUCCGCCUCCAGCAACAAUAAAAAACAUACAAACAAACAAAAAAAGAA
RNAcentral lists this small RNA (1094 nucleotides) under Rattus norvegicus (Norway rat). RNAcentral describes it as "uncharacterized LOC103692460". The record is from RNAcentral. Lineage: Eukaryota; Metazoa; Chordata; Mammalia; Rodentia; Muridae.